AAUGAACGCUGGCGGCAGGCUUAACACAUGCAAGUCGAGCGGGGGAAGGUAGCUUGCUACUGGACCUAGCGGCGGACGGGUGAGUAAUGCUUAGGAAUCUGCCUAUUAGUGGGGGACAACAUCUCGAAAGGGAUGCUAAUACCGCAUACGUCCUACGGGAGAAAGCAGGGGAUCUUCGGACCUUGCGCUAAUAGAUGAGCCUAAGUCGGAUUAGCUAGUUGGUGGGGUAAAGGCCUACCAAGGCGACGAUCUGUAGCGGGUCUGAGAGGAUGAUCCGCAACACUGGGACUGAGACACGGCCCAGACUCCUACGGGAGGCAGCAGUGGGGAAUAUUGGACAAUGGGGGGAACCCUGAUCCAGCCAUGCCGCGUGUGUGAAGAAGGCCUUAUGGUUGUAAAGCACUUUAAGCGAGGAGGAGGCUACUCUAGUUAAUACCUAGGGAUAGUGGACGUUACUCGCAGAAUAAGCACCGGCUAACUCUGUGCCAGCCGCCGCCGUAA
Molecule: ribosomal RNA, 501 nt
Filed under: uncultured bacterium
Lineage: Bacteria
Description: partial 16S ribosomal RNA
Rfam family: Bacterial small subunit ribosomal RNA
Source: RNAcentral